Long non-coding RNA from Sinocyclocheilus anshuiensis, 381 nucleotides. RefSeq lists it as uncharacterized. The record is from RefSeq and is a predicted model, not a curated record. The transcript has 3 exons. Lineage: Eukaryota; Metazoa; Chordata; Actinopteri; Cypriniformes; Cyprinidae.
GACUGACUGAAAUCCAAGAUUGAAUUAUAGUCCACAAACAGCAUUCUUACACAUAUUUAUUUUAUCCAGCUCAAAGUCUACAGCAGUUUUUGCAUACAGAGGGUGUUUUGCAUGAGCAGCACAAGCUUCACUGCUCUGCAUGUGUUUAUAUCUCUAUGAACUGAACAUGACAUGAUCAAGAGCUCUUCUUCAUCAACCAACAAACAUGACUUUCAGCAUCAUCUUUGUCUGGACUCUGGCAAUGUUUUUUUAAGAAUCCAUUGGGCAGGUGACAGUGACUCAAACUCCCUCACAGCUGCUCGCUCAAACAGGACAACAAGUCAAAAUAAAGUGUACAACUAGCAGUGCUACUCCCUGCUGUUGUGGUGGUACUGCAUGUCU